UAAAUUGGCUGGACUAGCAGCUGACCCAGAUAACGGAGAAAUAGACAGCAACAUACUAGACAUCAAUGAAGAACAAGAAUUAAUUGCCCAUCAGCAGCAGUUACCUGCCCUUGUCAUAGAGAACCUUGGCAUGGAGCCAAACAAUAUGAGAGUUCUCUCCCCUGUACAGCUGAUAGAGUUAUACAUCUCAGGAACAAACAUUGAUGCCACGGAAUAUGAUUUCAAGAAAGCACUGGAUCUCUUACAAUACAUAGACAAGGUAAAUGUAUA
Molecule: long non-coding RNA, 270 nt
Organism: Saccostrea cuccullata (small rock oyster)
Lineage: Eukaryota; Metazoa; Mollusca; Bivalvia; Ostreida; Ostreidae
Exons: 4
Source: RefSeq, a predicted model, not a curated record